Molecule: ribosomal RNA, 892 nt
Filed under: Escherichia coli
Lineage: Bacteria; Pseudomonadati; Pseudomonadota; Gammaproteobacteria; Enterobacterales; Enterobacteriaceae
Description: partial 23S ribosomal RNA
Rfam family: Bacterial large subunit ribosomal RNA
Source: RNAcentral
GGGGAGCAGCCCAGAGCCUGAAUCAGUGUGUGUGUUAGUGGAAGCGUCUGGAAAGGCGCGCGAUACAGGGUGACAGCCCCGUACACAAAAAUGCACAUGCUGUGAGCUCGAUGAGUAGGGCGGGACACGUGGUAUCCUGUCUGAAUAUGGGGGGACCAUCCUCCAAGGCUAAAUACUCCUGACUGACCGAUAGUGAACCAGUACCGUGAGGGAAAGGCGAAAAGAACCCCGGCGAGGGGAGUGAAAAAGAACCUGAAACCGUGUACGUACAAGCAGUGGGAGCACGCUUAGGCGUGUGACUGCGUACCUUUUGUAUAAUGGGUCAGCGACUUAUAUUCUGUAGCAAGGUUAACCGAAUAGGGGAGCCGAAGGGAAACCGAGUCUUAACUGGGCGUUAAGUUGCAGGGUAUAGACCCGAAACCCGGUGAUCUAGCCAUGGGCAGGUUGAAGGUUGGGUAACACUAACUGGAGGACCGAACCGACUAAUGUUGAAAAAUUAGCGGAUGACUUGUGGCUGGGGGUGAAAGGCCAAUCAAACCGGGAGAUAGCUGGUUCUCCCCGAAAGCUAUUUAGGUAGCGCCUCGUGAAUUCAUCUCCGGGGGUAGAGCACUGUUUCGGCAAGGGGGUCAUCCCGACUUACCAACCCGAUGCAAACUGCGAAUACCGGAGAAUGUUAUCACGGGAGACACACGGCGGGUGCUAACGUCCGUCGUGAAGAGGGAAACAACCCAGACCGCCAGCUAAGGUCCCAAAGUCAUGGUUAAGUGGGAAACGAUGUGGGAAGGCCCAGACAGCCAGGAUGUUGGCUUAGAAGCAGCCAUCAUUUAAAGAAAGCGUAAUAGCUCACUGGUCGAGUCGGCCUGCGCGGAAGAUGUAACGGGGCUAAACCAUG